This 700-nucleotide long non-coding RNA is filed under the name Marmota monax (woodchuck). The record is from RNAcentral. Lineage: Eukaryota; Metazoa; Chordata; Mammalia; Rodentia; Sciuridae.
GGGGCGGGCAGGCGCCCCGGGAGCAGGGAGCGCGCCUGCCAGGCUCAGGCUCACACGCACGCCGCCUCUGUUUGUACACACUGCGCUCACGGCCGCCGGCUCGCUCCCCUCCUGCUCACGCUUCAUUGUUCUCCAAGUCAGAAGCCCCGCAGCCGCGGCGGCGUUAACAGCGCGAGCUAAGCGCACUGUCCUCUCCACCGCCCGCGGGUCCGCCCGCCCGCGCGGGAGACCCGGAGCCACGACGGGAGUCCGCGCCCCGCCCGCCGAACCUCGGCCAGGACCCACCCGCAGCAGAGGGCAGAGCCCGCCAGCGCUUCCAGAGAGCUCACCCAGCUCCGCGCGCCGGAGCGCAGGAAAAAGGGGGAGGAAACGUUCCUCUUGGUGGCCACCACUCUUUCUCGCCCUCUCCAAGAAUUUGUUUAAGAAAGCGCUGCGGGAAGAAGACAUCUUCUUGAAUUCUCUAACAGGGGCGGAGUCUACUGCUGACCUGCGGUGCCACCUCGGCUUCACUGCUCUCGGUGACGACCCCUGACCAGCCAGGGUCACGUCCGGAAGACCGGAUCAUGAAGCGCUUGGUUUUCACCUGGCUCUUGGUUGGGCUCAGCCUCGGUGUCCCCCAGUUCGGCAAAGGUGAGGCGGUGGGGCCCGGAUCGCUGGAUGCGGGACGGGAGGGGAGUCCCCAGGGAAAUGCUGCGCAGGG